AACCCUCCUAAUCCGUGCCGAGAUUUCUUCACACACCAGACCACAAAGCCGAUGAGACUUCCAAGGGAAGUGGAGUC
This 77-nucleotide microRNA precursor is filed under the name Schistosoma mansoni. RNAcentral describes it as "mir-3492 microRNA precursor family". It matches the Rfam family "mir-3492 microRNA precursor family". Lineage: Eukaryota; Metazoa; Platyhelminthes; Trematoda; Strigeidida; Schistosomatidae. The record is from Rfam by way of RNAcentral.